UACAGAGGUGCCAAGCGUUAGGCGGAAUCACUGGGCUUAAAGCGCGUGUAGGCGGUCAGGUAAGUGGGAUGUGAAAUGCCCCGGCUCACCCGGGGACCGGCAUCCCAUACUGCUUGGCUUGAGUACGGGAGAGGAUGUGGGAAUUCCUGGUGUAGCGGUGAAGUGCGUAGAUAUCAGGAGGAACACCGGUGGCGAAGGCGCACAUCUGGCCCGAUACUGACGCUGAGGCGCGAAAGCUAGGGGAGCAAACGGG
RNAcentral lists this ribosomal RNA (253 nucleotides) under uncultured bacterium. RNAcentral describes it as "partial 16S ribosomal RNA". It matches the Rfam family "Bacterial small subunit ribosomal RNA", at positions 524 to 776 of the family's 1533-position model. The record is from RNAcentral.